AUUGAACGCUGGCGGCAGGCCUAACACAUGCAAGUCGAGCGGAUGAAGGGAGCUUGCUCCUGGAUUCAGCGGCGGACGGGUGAGUAAUGCCUAGGAAUCUGCCUGGUAGUGGGGGAUAACGUCCGGAAACGGGCGCUAAUACCGCAUACGUCCUGAGGGAGAAAGUGGGGGAUCUUCGGACCUCACGCUAUCAGAUGAGCCUAGGUCGGAUUAGCUAGUUGGUGGGGUAAAGGCCUACCAAGGCGACGAUCCGUAACUGGUCUGAGAGGAUGAUCAGUCACACUGGAACUGAGACACGGUCCAGACUCCUACGGGAGGCAGCAGUGGGGAAUAUUGGACAAAGGGCGAAAGCCUGAUCCAGCCAUGCCGCGUGUGUGAAGAAGGUUUUCGGAUUGUAAAGCACUUUAAGUUGGGAGGAAGGGCAGUAAGUUAAUACCUUGCUGUUUUGACGUUACCAACAGAAUAAGCACCGGCUAGCUUCGUG
RNAcentral lists this ribosomal RNA (484 nucleotides) under uncultured bacterium. RNAcentral describes it as "partial 16S ribosomal RNA". It matches the Rfam family "Bacterial small subunit ribosomal RNA", at positions 30 to 507 of the family's 1533-position model. The record is from RNAcentral.